RNAcentral lists this ribosomal RNA (770 nucleotides) under uncultured Nitrososphaerota archaeon. Its description in RNAcentral is "bacterial SSU rRNA". It matches the Rfam family "Archaeal small subunit ribosomal RNA", at positions 1 to 778 of the family's 1478-position model. Lineage: Archaea; Thermoproteati; Nitrososphaerota. The record is from RNAcentral.
UUCCGGUUGAUCCUGCCGGACCUGACUGCUAUCGGAUUGAUACUAAGCCAUGCGAGUCAUUGUAGUAAUACAAGGCAGACGGCUCAGUAACGCGUAGUCAACCUACCCUAUGGACGAGGAUAAUCUCGGGAAACUGAGGAUAAUACUCGAUAGAUCAUUAUGCCUGGAACGGUUUAUGGUUAAAAUGAUUCGUCGCCAUAGGAUGGGACUGCGGCCUAUCAGCUUGUUGGUGAGGUAAUGGCCCACCAAGGCGAUUACAGGUACGGGCUCUGAGAGGAGAAGCCCGGAGAUGGGUACUGAGACAAGGACCCAGGCCCUAUGGGGCGCAGCAGGCGAGAAAACUUUGCAAUGUGCGAAAGCACGACAAGGUUAGUCCGAGUGAUUUCUGCUAAAGAAAUCUUUUGCAAGUCAUAAAACCACUAGUGAAUAAGGGGUGGGCAAGUUCUGGUGUCAGCCGCCGCGGUAAAACCAGCACCUCAAGUGGUCAGGAUGAUUAUUGGGCCUAAAGCAUCCGUAGCCGGCUCUGUUAGUUUUCGGUUAAAUCUAUGUGCUCAACGCAUGGGCUGCCGAAAAUACUGCAGAGCUAGGGAGUGGGAGAGGUAGACGGUACUCGGUAGGAAGGGGUAAAAUCCUUUGAUCUAUCGAUGACCACCUGUGGCGAAGGCGGUCUACCAGAACACGUUCGACGGUGAGGGAUGAAAGCUGGGGGAGCAAACCGGAUUAGAUACCCGGGUAGUCCCAGCUGUAAACGAUGCAGACUCGAUGAUGCA